Molecule: ribosomal RNA, 497 nt
Filed under: uncultured bacterium
Lineage: Bacteria
Description: partial 16S ribosomal RNA
Rfam family: Bacterial small subunit ribosomal RNA
Source: RNAcentral
GAUGAACGCUGGCGGCGUGCCUAACACAUGCGAGUCGAGCGAACAGACGAGGAGUUUGCUCCUCUGACGUUAGCGGCGGACGGGUGAGUAACACGUGGAUAACCUACCUAUAAGACUGGGAUAACUUCGGGAAACCGGAGCUAAUACCGGAUAAUAUAUUGAACCGCAUGGUUCAAUAGUGAAAGACGGUUUUGCUGUGACUUAUAGAUGGAUCCGCGCCGCAUUAGCUAGUUGGUAAGGUAACGGCUUACCAAGGCAACGAUGCGUAGCCGACCUGAGAGGGUGAUCGGCCACACUGGAACUGAGACACGGUCCAGACUCCUACGGGAGGCAGCAGUAGGGAAUCUUCCGCAAUGGGCGAAAGCCUGACGGAGCAACGCCGCGUGAGUGAUGAAGGUCUUCGGAUCGUAAAACUCUGUUAUUAGGGAAGAACAAAUGUGUAAGUAACUAUGCACGUCUUGACGGUACCUAAUCAGAAAGCCACGGCUAACUACGUG